This is a long non-coding RNA of Dromaius novaehollandiae (emu), 2695 nucleotides long. RefSeq lists it as uncharacterized. NCBI's taxonomy places the organism in Eukaryota, Metazoa, Chordata, Aves, Casuariiformes, Dromaiidae. The record is from RefSeq and is a predicted model, not a curated record. The transcript has 2 exons.
GCUGUAGGGGCCCAAGGGGGCUAUAGGGGCCUGGCUGGGGAUGUGGUAGGGAUCUUUCUGGUGGCCUGGGGGGGCUCUAGGGGCCCAAGGCGGGUAUAGGGCCCUGGCUGGGGAUUUGUGGGGCUAGAGGGGCCUGGUCGGGAGCCUGAGGGUGCUAUAGGGGCUUAGCUGGCAAACUGUGGGGACCUAAGGGGGCUAUAGGGGCCUGGCUGGGGAUGUGGUGGCCUGUAGGAGCUAUAGGGGUCUGUCUGGUGGCUUGAGGGGGUUAUAGGGGCCUGCCUGGGUGUCUGUGGAGGCUAUAGGGACCUGUGGGAGCUAUAGGGGCCUUUGAAGGUGGAGCCUGUGGGCACUGCAGGGGACUGGCCUGGGUCUGUGGGGGCAGUGGGGGCCCAGCUGGUUGUGUGGGCACUAUAGGAGCCCCACAGGGGGACUGGGGGGCUAUGGGUGCUAUAGGGACCCCGCUGGGCCUGCAGGGAGCUACUGGCACUGUAGGGGCUUAGCUGGGGGAAUGGAGGCCUGUGGGGUGUAUGGGUGCUGCAGGGGCCCAGCCAGGCUUGUGGGUGCUCUGGGGGCUUGCUGAGGGUGUGGGGGCCUGUGGGUACCUAUAGGAGCCUGUCUGGGAGGUAUGGGCCACAUAGAGUUGCAGCUGAGGCAGGGGGAGGCUGGGUGAUGUCUGCAGCAGGACUUCAGCAUAUGUCUUCUAAACCCUGUUUUACUUCCCAGACCACUGGACCAACCCGCUCUGCAGGAGAACAGGAAUUCCCAGGCUCCCCACCUCCUUCCCCCCGUAGUGGGACCAGGGUUUUGUCUGAAUCUCCUGCGCGCAAGUACCGUGGCAUUGCCCUCAGCCGGGCUUCUCAAUGUCAGGCCUGGGUGGUUUGGAUAAUGGAUAGCACUGGCAGCAGGAGAAACGGAGUGGCAGAGGAUGGGGGGAGAGCCUGCCAGGCGCUGAAGAUGCGAGUGUUAGCCAGCCAAGUGCACUAUGGAAAUUAAAUUGGACUGCAGAGCACUCCGGCACUGCGUCGUGACAGGAGAGUGAGUUGGCAGAAAUACUUAGAUGUGUCUGAUCUCACUGGGUUUAAUCAGCUUUAGACCCGGAAUAAGGCAGAUCUGUUGGACGGGUGCCGGCUGGCCUCAGUGGUGGAGCAGGGUCGGGAGAGGGAAGAUGUUGUCGUCCCCUCGGAGCGGCCAGGGGCAGGGAGUAUCAGGAAGGGGAAAAGCGUGGCCUGGAAGAGGCUGAGAGGGCAGCGACUGGGGCAGGGGGUAGGGGCUGUGCUUCUCCAGCUUGGUACUGGCAAGGCAGGCAGGGCUCGAGUCGCCCCGACAGACUUUGGGUGAAGACAGCACAAAGUGGUGCCUUGUUGCAGCCUCCGUGUUGGCUGUUUCUUUUGAGCUCUCUGCAGGGCAGCUCUGGCAGGGAUCGCUCGCCCACCGCCAAAACGCAGUGGGAUGUGUGUGCCGCAACCUGGAGCAGGCGUUCGGUGGAGGAGCAGAGAGGAGGCAAUUCCACCGGUUGUAAGCUAGAAAAGUUGUCUCUCUGAGCAGCCUUGGCUCCCUCCCAAAGGGGUCUUUGCAUCCCAGCUGGAAUCUCACUGGGGAUUUAGUUCCUCAUUCUUCUGGUAUCCCAUUGCCUCCAUGCUCUGAGCUGGUGACCUGGAGGCACUCUGGCUACAGUUGCAAGAACUCGAGCGUAAAAUGUGGCCAAAGAUAAACCAGUGAAUGGGUAAAAAUAACCCCCGCUUACUCCCCACACGCCUGUCCGGUAUCAGCCUGCUCCAGUUACACAAACAAGUCCUUGCCUGCAGAAGCCCAUGCAGCCAUGGGAAGGGCAGAGGAAUUUGUUUUCACUGCUGGCUAACGCAGGAAUGAAGCGCUGAACGUCAAGGGCCUGUGAAGGAGCUUUGCUGGUAACCGUUAACGCCUCCCUGGGCGCACGCGGGGCUUAACACCUCUCCGAGGUGCGGUCUCUGGCUCCGCGCGCUCCGGGAUGCUCCGCAGCUUCCGUUUCUGAAACUGCGUCUAGCAGCGAAGACGCGCUCCCGCGUCUUUGACGAGAGCUGCGAUCCGACCUUGGCUGCCUGCUGCAGCACGGGGCUGGCGGAGGCUCCCGAGCGCGGCUCCUCUGCCCUCCGCUGUCCCUCUGCUCCCCCGCCCGCCUUCUGCGCGAGGAUGCUCCGUGGAGCGGCUGCGGGAGCCGGGAAUCGAUUCGGCCCUUGCAGAGCUAAUGGCGCUGAAGUGGUUUGGCCGCUCUCGUGAACUGGAGGAGUUCUCAGGAGCGUUUCUCUCCCUCCCUCCGUCUGUUUGGAAGCGAGUGGUGAUCCUCUCCCUCCUCCCCCGUGUCCCGAGCUCUGCUCCCAUCCCGGGCUGCUCCCUGACUUCAGCUAUUCAGGAGCCGCUGGGGCGAGGCUGCAGCUUCCAGGAGCUGAGGGUCCAGAUCCAAGAAAGGGCUUGGAGUGAAGUGAAUCCUCUAAACAAGGAAGUUUUUUCUCACGACAUGUGAGUUGCUGUUUAACAACCCCUCCUCCCCCCUUUUCAUUCUCACCCCAACCAAAAACCCCCCCUCGUAUUUCAUGCCUGAGCCCGCGGGAACAAUGUCCUGAUGGGGAGUCGGGCCUGGAGAAAGCAUUCCCUUCUGGAAACCGAGCCUCAUUUGGAAGUUGGCUCUUGUAUUGAAAAUAAAAUUCUCAUGAGACAA